RNAcentral lists this ribosomal RNA (875 nucleotides) under uncultured Thermoplasmatales archaeon. RNAcentral's name for it is "bacterial SSU rRNA". It matches the Rfam family "Archaeal small subunit ribosomal RNA", at positions 21 to 903 of the family's 1478-position model. Lineage: Archaea; Methanobacteriati; Thermoplasmatota; Thermoplasmata; Thermoplasmatales. The record is from RNAcentral.
CGAUUGCCGCUAUUGGAGUUCGAUUAAGCCAUGCGAGUCGAUCGGGUUAGACCCGAGGCGAACUGCUCAGUAACACGUGGAGAAUCUAACCUUAGGUGGAGGAUAACCUCGGGAAACUGAGAAUAAUCCACCAUAGAUCUUGGCUGCUGGAACGCAUUUAGAUUGAAAGCUAAGGCGCCUAAGGAUGACUCUGCGGCCUAUCAGGUUGUAGUUAGGGUAAAGGCCUAACUAGCCUUCGACGGGUACGGGUUGUGAGAGCAAGAGCCCGGAGAUGGAUUCUGAGACAUGAAUCCAGGCCCUAAGGGGCGCAGCAGGCGCGAAAACUCCGCAAUGUGCGAAAGCACGACGGGGGAACUCCGAGUGCCAAUGCUAUGCAUUGGCUGUUUCUAAGCCUAAAAAGCUUAGAGAGUAAGGGCUGGGUAAGACGAGUGCCAGCCGCCGCGGUAAUACUUGCAGCCCAAGUGGUAAUCGUUAUUAUUGAGCCUAAAAAGUUCGUAGCUGGUCUAUUAAAUGCAUAGAUAAAUUGAAGGGCUUAACCUUUCGAUUUCUAUGUAGACUAAUAGACUUGAGAUCGGGAUAGGUCAGAGGUACUCUAGGGGGAGGGGUGAAAUCCUGUAAUCCUUAGAGGACCAACAGUGGCGAAGGCGUCUGACGAGAACGAAUCUGACAGUGAGGAACGAAGCCCUGGGGCGCGAACGGGAUUAGAUACCCCGGUAGUCCAGGGUGUAAACUCUGCCUGCUUAGCGUUAGGCACUCUUUUGGGUGCCUAGUACUGGAGAGAAGUUGUUAAGCAGGCUGCUUGGGGAGUAUGGUCGCAAGGCUGAAACUUAAAGGAAUUGGCGGGGGAGCACCGCAACGGGAGGAGCGUGCGGUUU